Molecule: ribosomal RNA, 508 nt
Filed under: uncultured bacterium
Lineage: Bacteria
Description: bacterial SSU rRNA
Rfam family: Bacterial small subunit ribosomal RNA
Source: RNAcentral
GAUGAACGCUAGCUACAGGCUUAACACAUGCAAGUCGAGGGGAAACGACAUCGAAAGCUUGCUUUUGAUGGGCGUCGACCGGCGCACGGGUGAGUAACGCGUAUCCAACCUGCCCAUCACUUGGGGAUAACCUUGCGAAAGUAAGACUAAUACCCAAUGACGUCUCUAGAAGACAUCUGAAAGAGAUUAAAGAUUUAUCGGUGAUGGAUGGGGAUGCGUCUGAUUAGCUUGUUGGCGGGGUAACGGCCCACCAAGGCGACGAUCAGUAGGGGUUCUGAGAGGAAGGUCCCCCCACAUUGGAACUGAGACACGGUCCAAACUCCUACGGGAGGCAGCAGUGAGGAAUAUUGGUCAAUGGGCGAGAGCCUGAACCAGCCAAGUAGCGUGCAGGAUGACGGCCCUAUGGGUUGUAAACUGCUUUUAUAAGGGAAUAAAGUGAGCCUCGUGAGGCUUUUUUGCAUGUACCUUAUGAAUAAGGACCGGCUAAUUCCGUGCCAGCAGCCGACGG